Molecule: ribosomal RNA, 836 nt
Filed under: Uwebraunia communis
Lineage: Eukaryota; Fungi; Ascomycota; Dothideomycetes; Mycosphaerellales; Dissoconiaceae
Description: eukaryotic LSU rRNA
Rfam family: Eukaryotic large subunit ribosomal RNA
Source: RNAcentral
UAUCAAUAAGCGGAGGAAAAGAAACCAACAGGGAUUGCCCUAGUAACGGCGAGUGAAGCGGCAACAGCUCAAAUUUGAAAUCUGGCGCAAGCCCGAGUUGUAAUUUGUAGAGGAUGCUUCUGGGUAGCGGCCGGUCUAAGUUCCUUGGAACAGGACGUCACAGAGGGUGAGAAUCCCGUAUGUGAUCGGCCCGCGCCCUCUACGUAGCUCCUUCGACGAGUCGAGUUGUUUGGGAAUGCAGCUCUAAAUGGGAGGUAAAUUUCUUCUAAAGCUAAAUACCGGCCAGAGACCGAUAGCGCACAAGUAGAGUGAUCGAAAGAUGAAAAGCACUUUGGAAAGAGAGUUAAAAAGCACGUGAAAUUGUUGAAAGGGAAGGGCUUGCAACCAGACUUGACGGCGGUGUUCCCCCGGGCUUCUGCCCGGGUUAUUCACCGUCGGCAGGCCAUCAUCGUCUGGGGCCGCUGGAGAAACCGUCAGGAAUGUGGCUCCCUCGGGAGUGUUAUAGCCUGUCGACAUGCAGCGUGCCCCGGGCGAGGUCCGCGCUUAGGCAAGGAUGAUGGCGUAAUGGUUGUCAGCCGCCCGUCUUGAAACACGGACCAAGGAGUCUAACAUCUAUGCGAGUGUUCGGGUGUCAAACCCCUACGCGUAAUGAAAGUGAACGGAGGUGGGAGCUUCGGCGCACCAUCGACCGAUCCUGAUGUCCUCGGAUGGAUUUGAGUAAGAGCAUAGCUGUUGGGACCCGAAAGAUGGUGAACUAUGCCUGAAUAGGGUGAAGCCAGAGGAAACUCUGGUGGAGGCUCGCAGCGGUUCUGACGUGCAAAUCGAUCGUCAAAUUU